This 164-nucleotide ribosomal RNA is filed under the name uncultured bacterium. RNAcentral describes it as "partial 16S ribosomal RNA". It matches the Rfam family "Bacterial small subunit ribosomal RNA", at positions 353 to 509 of the family's 1533-position model. The record is from RNAcentral.
AGUGGGGAAUAUUGCGCAAUGGACGAAAGUCUGACGCAGCGACGCCGCGUGAGGGAUGAAGGUUUUCGGAUCGUAAACCUCUGUCAGGAGGGAAGAAAGCGCAUGGCGCCAAUCAGCCAUGCGUUGACGGUACCUCCAAAGGAAGCGCCGGCUAACUCCGUGCC